GCCGGAGUAGUGCAUCUGAUUUGUAAUCAGGGAGUGCGGGUUUGAUUCCUGUCUCCGGCU
This 60-nucleotide transfer RNA is filed under the name Candidatus Merdisoma merdipullorum. Its description in RNAcentral is "tRNA-OTHER". It matches the Rfam family "tRNA". From Rfam's summary of the family: Transfer RNA (tRNA) molecules are approximately 80 nucleotides in length. Lineage: Bacteria; Bacillati; Bacillota; Clostridia; Lachnospirales; Lachnospiraceae. The record is from RNAcentral.